This 102-nucleotide Y RNA is filed under the name Microcebus murinus (gray mouse lemur). Its description in RNAcentral is "Y RNA (ENSMICG00000043604.1)". It matches the Rfam family "Y RNA". Rfam says of the family: Y RNAs are components of the Ro ribonucleoprotein particle (Ro RNP), in association with Ro60 and La proteins. The Y RNAs and Ro60 and La proteins are well conserved, but the function of the Ro RNP is not known. Lineage: Eukaryota; Metazoa; Chordata; Mammalia; Primates; Cheirogaleidae. The record is from Rfam by way of RNAcentral.
GGUUGGUCUGAGUGCAUUGGUGUUUACAACUAAUUGAUCACAACCAGUUACAGAUUCCUUUGUUCCUUCUCCACUCCCACUGCUUCACUUUACCAGCUUUUA